CUGGCUGGGUCUCCUGAAAGAAUAUAGUCUGGAUGUUGGCCAGGCCAGUGGAUCAGCUUCCAAGCCUACUCAGGAAUUUUCUAGAAGCGAUGUAAUUUUUGUCUUCACAACAGAUUGAACAGAGUCAGACAAGAGACUUCCAAUAAGCCAGAUUUGCAAACAUAAACAAUAAAGACACCAUAAUCCCUACAUUUUGGCGCUUUGUACCUGGGCUCCUUUGACACGCGUUGAUUCCUGCUUUCUGGAUCUCAUAGACUGCUGUUUCUGCCUGCACGGGCCAGAUGGCCCAGCACCUUCCCUUCCAGUCCGCUUAGCGCAGUCAUAGGCUUCUGUCCGGCUUGGAUUUGUCUUUUCUGCUCUGCAUUCAAGGCCCGUUCACCUCCGCAGUCAAGCCUCGUUCACCUCCGCAGUUCUGAGACCUGGGGAAGGCAGAGCCCCAUCUCCCACUUAGGGAACUGGGUGGAUUGGAUACUCCUUUUCCCCACUCCUGGUUGGUGGCACCUGGCCGGGUGCCUGAGGCCUGACUGCACGAAUGGCCUGCAUGGGACUUUGACUCUAGAGCUGGCAACGGAGAGGGCGGCUCAGGGGAUGGGAAUGUCUGAAGCCUGUCAAGAAGCAGUCCUAUAACAAUGUGGACCAACCAUGACUGUGGGGGGCCUUGACCCCCCACCCCUCGCUAGAACUCUUGAGUGCCUUUUACGGGCAUGUCUGGGCCUGCUGCAAGUCUACCCGGCAACAAGGAAGUAGCCCCAGUACCCUCCCCUUGCUCCUCGCCUCUAGCCCUACAGUAUAUAUGCUGUAGCAGCUUCCGCAAUAAACGAGACUUGAUCAGAAACC
This 837-nucleotide long non-coding RNA is filed under the name Heterocephalus glaber (naked mole-rat). RNAcentral's name for it is "lncRNA (ENSHGLG00000047134.1)". The record is from RNAcentral. Lineage: Eukaryota; Metazoa; Chordata; Mammalia; Rodentia; Bathyergidae.